UGGGGAAUAUUGCACAAUGGGGGAAACCCUGAUGCAGCGACGCCGCGUGAGCGAAGAAGGCCUUCGGGUCGUAAAGCUCUGUCCUAUGGGAAGAUAAUGACGGUACCAUAGGAGGAAGCCCCGGCUAACUACGUGCCAGCAGCCGCGGUAAUACGUAGGGGGCGAGCGUUGUCCGGAAUUACUGGGCGUAAAGGGUUCGCAGGCGGCAUGGCAAGUCCGAUGUAAAAGGCGAAGGCUCAACCUUCGUAAGCAUCGGAAACUGUCAAGCUUGAGUGAAGGAGAGGCAAGUGGAAUUCCUAGUGUAGCGGUGGAAUGCGUAGAUAUUAGGAGGAAUACCGGUGGCGAAGGCGACUUGCUGGACUUCAACUGACGCUGAGGAACGAAAGCGUGGGUAGCAAACAGG
This 403-nucleotide ribosomal RNA is filed under the name Verrucomicrobiota bacterium. Its description in RNAcentral is "Verrucomicrobia bacterium partial 16S ribosomal RNA". It matches the Rfam family "Bacterial small subunit ribosomal RNA", at positions 355 to 776 of the family's 1533-position model. The record is from RNAcentral. Lineage: Bacteria; Pseudomonadati; Verrucomicrobiota.